This 497-nucleotide ribosomal RNA is filed under the name uncultured bacterium. RNAcentral's name for it is "partial 16S ribosomal RNA". It matches the Rfam family "Bacterial small subunit ribosomal RNA", at positions 28 to 507 of the family's 1533-position model. The record is from RNAcentral.
GAUGAACGCUGGCGGCGUGCCUAAUACAUGCAAGUCGAGCGAACAGACGAGGAGCUUGCUCCUCUGACGUUAGCGGCGGACGGGUGAGUAACACGUGGAUAACCUACCUAUAAGACUGGGAUAACUUCGGGAAACCGGAGCUAAUACCGGAUAAUAUAUUGAACCGCAUGGUUCAAUAGUGAAAGACGGUUUUGCUGUCACUUAUAGAUGGAUCCGCGCCGCAUUGGCUAGUUGGUAAGGUAACGGCUUACCAAGGCAACGAUGCGUAGCCGACCUGAGAGGGUGAUCGGCCACACGGGAACUGAGACACGGUCCAGACUCUUACGGGAGGCAGCAGUAGGGAAUCUUCCGCGAAGGGCGAAAGCUUGACGGAGCAACGCGGCCUGAGUGAUGAAGGUCUUCGGAUCGUAAAACUCUGUUAUUAGGGAAGAACAAAUGUGUAAGUAACUAUGCACGUCUUGACGGUACCUAAUCAGAAAGCCACGGCUAACUACGUG